GACGAACUGUGCGAACGUUAUUCGGAAUCACUGGGCUUACAGGGUGCGUAGGCGGCUAUUCAGGUCAGGUGUGAAAGCCCCCGGCUCAACCGGGGAACUGCGCUUGAAACCGAGUGGCUCGAGUCAGCUAGAGGUACACGGAACUUCCAGUGGAGCGGUGAAAUGUGUUGAUAUUGGAAGGAACACCGGAGGCGAAAGCGGUGUACUGGGGCUGGUCUGACGCUGAGGCACGAAAGCCAGGGGAGCGAACGGG
Molecule: ribosomal RNA, 253 nt
Filed under: uncultured bacterium
Lineage: Bacteria
Description: partial 16S ribosomal RNA
Rfam family: Bacterial small subunit ribosomal RNA
Source: RNAcentral